GGGGUUGUGGCUCAGUGGUAGAGCACUUGCUUGGCAUAUGCAAGGCGCUGGGUUUAAUCUUCAGCACCA
Ictidomys tridecemlineatus (thirteen-lined ground squirrel) is the source of this 69-nucleotide non-coding RNA. The record is from Rfam. NCBI's taxonomy places the organism in Eukaryota, Metazoa, Chordata, Mammalia, Rodentia, Sciuridae.